CUUCUGAGGCUUUUCUUUAACAUUGUUUCUGCUAAAUUUCUUCCACACAAAAUUCAUAUUAUCAAAGUUAAUGCUUCUCUCCCUUCUUUUUCUGAUCGUCUCCUUUCCCUUUAGACCAUUAGCAUGCAAGCUUUGAUUUUCUAAUCCAUCUAGAAAAUCGCUCCUCUUUUCUCUGUCUCUCUGUCCAAAAUCCAGCAUGGUUCUGAUUUUCUUGUAAAAAUAAAGAUUUAUUAGGGUUUUUGAUCUGGGUUUGGUUCACUAUGAAGGGUUGUUCAAUUCAUAGUCGAAAGAUUGCUGCUUUACUCGGAGUAUCAACUGGUAUUAUAUGGGUUUGUUUAGUUUCUUCUGUAAUUGGUGAAGACGAUGUGAAGUGCGUGCAAGGUGUUAAGACUUCGCUUAGCGACCCCCAAGGGAAGCUCAGCUCCUGGAACUUCGCCAACUCAUCAUCUGGAUUCCUCUGCAACUUUGUCGGUGUUUCUUGUUGGAAUGAUCAAGAAAACAGGAUUAUCAGCCUCCAAUUACGCGACAUGAAGCUGUCUGGACAAUUCCCUGAGUCCUUAAAGAACUGUAAGAGCCUGCAAACUUUGGAUCUUUCAUCUAAUGCUCUAUCUGGUCCGAUUCCUACUCAGAUAUGUACCUGGCUGCCUUAUUUAGUUACUCUUGAUCUAUCCAAUAAUGA
This 679-nucleotide unclassified non-coding RNA is filed under the name Hevea brasiliensis (rubber tree). The record is from RNAcentral. Lineage: Eukaryota; Viridiplantae; Streptophyta; Magnoliopsida; Malpighiales; Euphorbiaceae.